GUGGGGAAUUUUGGACAAUGGGCGCAAGCCUGAUCCAGCAAUGCCGCGUGCAGGAAGAAGGCCUUCGGGUUGUAAACUGCUUUUGUACGGAACGAAACGGUCCGGGUUAAUACCCUGGGCUAAUGACGGUACCGUAAGAAUAAGCACCGGCUAACUACGUGCCAGCAGCCGCGGUAAUACGUAGGGUGCAAGCGUUAAUCGGAAUUACUGGGCGUAAAGCGUGCGCAGGCGGUUUUGUAAGACAGGCGUGAAAUCCCCGGGCUCAACCGGGGAAUUGCGCUUGGGACGGAAAGGCUGGAGUGUGGCAAAGGGGGAUGGAAUUCCGCGUGUAGCAGUGAAAUGCGUAGAUAUGCGGAGGAACACCGAUGGCGAAGGCAAUCCCCUGGGCCUGCACUGACGCUCAUGCACGAAAGCGUGGGGAGCAAACAGGAUUAGAUACCCGAGUAGUCC
This 450-nucleotide ribosomal RNA is filed under the name uncultured bacterium. RNAcentral's name for it is "partial 16S ribosomal RNA". It matches the Rfam family "Bacterial small subunit ribosomal RNA", at positions 354 to 796 of the family's 1533-position model. The record is from RNAcentral.